Molecule: long non-coding RNA, 4428 nt
Organism: Alexandromys fortis (reed vole)
Lineage: Eukaryota; Metazoa; Chordata; Mammalia; Rodentia; Cricetidae
Exons: 4
Source: RefSeq, a predicted model, not a curated record
GAGAGAGAGAGAGAGAGAGAGAGAGAGAGAGAGAGAGAGAGAGAGAGAGGAAGAAAACAGCCUUUCCUGGUCUACACGAAUGCUGGCCUUAAAGCUGCCCACCACCACGCCCUGAUUUUACAUGGACUCCAGAGAGCAAGUCAGGUGAUCCGGCACACAGCAAGCAGCCUUCUGACAACCUGGUGUGUGUGUGUCUGUGCACAUUAGUGCAGAUGCUGGCAGAAGCUGAAGUGUCCACCUGUCCAUGAACUAGAAUUACAGGCAGUCCUGGACCACCACGUGCGUCCCGGGGCCAAACCCCUCUGAGAGAGCUGCAGUUGUCUUUCGACAUGAUCACAUGGACCCCAAGCCGGCCCAACACUGCCCAUGUAACUGGUGAUGACUGUGACCUUCCUGCUCAGAAGAGUGACUGCCGGGAAACUCAUGAGCUCUGAAACAGACUGGCCUUUCAGAGACUUCAACCUGCAGAUGAGAACUUCAUACCCUGCAAGGGAAGUCACUGCUGCCCUGAGGAAAAGGGGUGGCCUUGGGUGGAGGGUUCCCUUUGUCUAAAGGAAAUUCCCAGAGAAAGACUAACGUCGUCAGCAGUGCACACUUUAGCCCUGAAGGCAGCUGGGGACACAGCAGUCUGUGCUUGUGCACCUUGUCAUUUGAUUGCAUUCGCUGCUUUGGAACACGAGUUAUCACGCUUCCAUAACACGUAUGGUUCUGUCUGGGCAUGGUGGUGCAUCCUUAAUCCCAGCACUGGGGGGCAGAAGCAGGUGGAUCUCUGUGGGUUUGAGGCGGUCUAUGUGGUGUUCCAGGCUACAUAAUGAGAUUCUGUCUUGGAAAAACCCAAAUGAAAACAAAAACAAAACAAAACAAAAACUUACUGUGGUUCUUUGUGUGUGUAGAUGUAUGUGUGUGUGUGUGUAAUUUUAGUUUUUAAUUUUUUUAUUUUCUGAUUUUUCAAGACAGUGUUUUUCUGUAGCUUUGGAGCCUGUCCUGGAAACUAGCUCUUGUAGACCCAGGCUGGCCUCGAACUCACAGAGAUCCACUCCACCUGCCUCUGCUUCCUGAGUGCUGGGAAUAAAGCCGUGCACCACCAUCACCCAGCUCUUAUUGUAAUUUUAGAUACUAAUUUUUUUAUUGUUAUCAUAGUUUAAUAUGUCAUUUUUUCUGAGCCAACUUUUUUAUUUUUAAUAUUUUUUUGAGAUUACAAUGACAAUAUUUCUUUCUUCCCUUUUCUCCCUCCAAACCCUCCCACGUACCCUCCCCCUUUCAAAUUCAUGGCCGCUUUUCCCUUUAGUUGUUUUGUGUGCGUGUGUGUGUGUACAUACAUUCACACACACACACACACACACACACACAUUCCUAAAUGCAUAAUACAACCUGCUCAGCCUGAGUAACUAUAAUGAGAAAAUGCUUUUGACCCUCAAAUCAGAGAUUUCUGUUAGAGACUGGACCUGACCCCCAGCUAAGAUAUGCCAGUCACACAGGUGAGCAUCCUUGGGGACAGAGACUUUGGAAUGUAGAAUGUGAACCUUGUGUGACGCCCCUCAGCAUAAUCAAAUAUAACUUCUGUUAUACUAACUACAUGAAUCUAUCUUCAAGAUUGUGACAGUAAUGUUAUUCAUAUAUGUUUUUAGGGAUGACCACUUGGCAUUGGAUAAAAAUUGGUGUGCUCUUCCCAAAUCAACUUUUAAUAUUUUAACAUUGUUUUUGGAAGACAGUGGGGAGAGGUUCUAUGGUUUUCCUAGUGUUUUUUUCCAGCUCAAGAGCGCCAUCUUCUGUUAUUAUGAGUUGCCAUUCUCUGGAAUCUGACCUGGCUUUCUGUUCUUUUAGGGUGGCCUUGAAUUCUCUAUGUAGUGAAGAAUGACUUUCCUGAGUUCCUGAUGACCUGCCUCCAAGUUCUGGGAUUACAGAUGUGUUCCAUCACACCAGCCUUCUUCCCGUCCUUUCCACCCCCUUCCUUUCUUUCUCUUUCAGGUGUAUGUAUAUAUGUGUGUGUGUGUACACACAUAUAUACAUACAUACAUACAUACAUACGCGCACACAGUAUAUACACACACAUACACGCACAAUGUAUAUACACAUAUAUUGUGUUGCCUGUGGCAACCUAUAGAUAAUGUGUAUAUAUGUAUAUAUGUGUGUCUAUAUAUGUGUGUAUUAUUGAGAGAGUUUCACACUGCAGUCCAGGCUAACCUGGAAUGCACUGUGUAGUCCCACUGGCCUUGAACUGGUUCUCUUUCUGCCCUGGCUUCUGGCGUGCUGUAAUUACUGGCGUUGGCCUUCACAAAACGGCCUGAUGUGUUGCUCUUACAGUCAAAUGUCUCCCGGUCCUUCUAUUUAUUAUCAGGACAAUUAUUUUACUUUUCACAGUUUCUCAAAAAAGAUACUUUUUCAACACUACUACUGUUGUUCCUAUGAACUUUCUAACUGUGGCUACUGUUGCCUGUGGCAACAUGCUGGGUUCAGACCCGUUCCCAGCUAUUCCACUGUGGGUUGGGACCUUCCUUCUGGGAGUGAACCAUUGUUCACUAGUGACCUUAGCUUACCCUGAUCUUUUGAGCAUUUCUGGUGGCUUCUACACAGUCCUGGGAUUCCAGCGUCAUUUCCCCAGCCUUUCCCUCCUGUGCUGAGUCCCAUGCAGGUAUUACUCUGUACUUUCCUUUUUAUUCUUCUCAUACCUUCAUGCCAAGAUGUGGCGUUAUCUACUUCAGUUUUGUCAUUCUGGAAAAUAUCAGUUUGCCUUCUCUCUCUCUCUCUCUCUCUCUCUCUCUCUUAUUUACUUAUUAAGCAUAAAAUGUACUGCUGGCAAGGAAGGCACCAGAUCUCAUUACAGAUGGUUGUGAGCCACCAUGUGGUUGCUGGGAACUGAACUUGGGACCUCUGGAAGAGCAGCCAGUGCUCUUACCCUCGGAGCCAUCUCUCCAGUCCCUCUUUUUUGGUUUUUCAAGGCAGGGUUUCUCUGUGUAACAGUCCUGGCUUUCUGGGAACUCAAACUCACUCUAUAGACCAGGCUGGCCUUGAACUCACAGAGACCCUCCUGCCUCUGCCUCCCAAGUGCUGGGAUUAAAGAAAGGUAUGCACCACCACCAACCACCCAGCUUUUUGGUUUUUUUCAAAUUUUGUUCUUAAAUUUGCUAUUUCUUGUUGGAAGAGCCUUUCUCCAGCUGGACAGGAGGUUCAAGGCCUGCUUGGACUUCAGAGUGAAUCCUAGGCCAGUCUGGCGGAAUUGGAGGGAUCCUCUUUCAAAACAGAACAAAAUAUGGGUGUGCAGUGCAGUGGUAGAGCUCUUGCUAACGCUUGCAAGGUCCUGCGUUCCAGCCCCAGUGUCUGAAAUUCAGCAAGCCAAAUAGACAGAAACCUUUUCCAUACUAAGUCAAAAAGAUUUUAUUUUAAAAAUUAUUUUUUAUUGUUUUUAUUGAGCUAUUUCCCCUUUCUUCCUCCUCUCUUUCCUUCUUCCUUCUCCUGUGACCCCCAUACUCCCAAUUUGUUCAGGAGAUCUUGUCCUUUUUCCUUCUUAUAUAGAUCCAUGUAUGUCUCUUAAAAUUAUUUUUAAUCAUUUAUUUAUUAAAUUAAUUAUUAUUAAAAUAAAUAUGCAUAUGAGGACAAGUGCCCAAAGAGGGCAUUGUGUCCCUUGGAACUAGAGCCAGGAGAGUCGGCUCCCCAUCUUCCACUACAUGGGUCCCAAGGAUGGAACCUAAGUCCUCAGUCUUAGUGGCAAGCACCGUCACUCUCUGAGCCAUCUUGCUGCACCUUAUGUUUCCUCUUACAUCUUUAAAGAAAAAAUAUUUUUUUAAUUUUGUGUUAUGUAAAUGUGGGUGCAGGUGCCCACGGGGGCCAGAAGAGGGUGUCAGAUGACCUGGGGGGCCAGAAGAGGGUAUUAGAUGGCCUGGGGGGCCAGAAGAGGGUGUCAGAUGACCUGGGGGGCCAGGAGAGGGCGUCAGAUGACCUGGGGGCCAGGAGAGGGCGUCAGAUAACCUGGGGGGCCAGAAAAGGGCCUCAGAUGACCUAGUGGCUGUGAGCAACCUGGUGUGAGUGCUGGGAGCUGAACUCUGAUCCUUGAAGGAGCAGCCAGUGCUCUUAACCCUUGAAAGACUCUUGUGGCUCCUGCACUUACAUCUUAAAGCCACUGAAAGGUCACCUAAGAGUGGAUUGGACCUAGUUUAAUCUUUCUAGGCUGGCUUGGUACUCAGUAAGUAGUUCAUGGUCACCUCAAAACUCUUGGCAGUCCUCCUGCCUCAGCUUCCUAAGCUGUAGUAUAUGCCACCACAUCCAGUUAUAACAAGUUUUCUCUACAAAGUCUCUAAAUAGUCUCUGUGUUGUGUUUCAUAAAAACACAAAUGUUAAAUUUAAAAAGAAAAAACGUAGUGGGGUGUGGUGGUACACACCUUUAAUACUAGCAGAGGCAGGAUCUUGAAAGACCCUACAAACACCCCCCCC